This 439-nucleotide ribosomal RNA is filed under the name uncultured bacterium. RNAcentral's name for it is "partial 16S ribosomal RNA". It matches the Rfam family "Bacterial small subunit ribosomal RNA", at positions 339 to 795 of the family's 1533-position model. The record is from RNAcentral.
CUACGGGGUGCAGCAGUGAGGAAUAUUGCACAAUGGAGGAAACUCUGAUGCAGCAACGCCGCGUGGAGGAUGACGCAUUUCGGUGUGUAAACUCCUUUUAUAUGUCAAGAAAAUGACGGUAGCAUAUGAAUAAGCACCGGCUAACUCCGUGCCAGCAGCCGCGGUAAUACGGAGGGUGCAAGCGUUACUCGGAAUCACUGGGCGUAAAGGACGCGUAGGCGGGAUAUCAAGUCAGGUGUGAAAUCCUACAGCUUAACUGUAGAACUGCACUUGAAACUGGUAAGCUAGAGUAUGGGAGGGGGAGAUGGAAUUAGUGGUGUAGGGGUAAAAUCCGUAGAUAUCACUAGGAAUACCUAAAGCGAAGGCGAUCUCCUGGAACAUAACUGACGCUAAGGCGUGAAAGCGUGGGGAGCAAACAGGAUUAGAUACCCUAGUAGUC